UGUUUGAUGUUACGGCAGUUUCAUAGAUUAAUCCAUGAGUACAUGAAGUUUAGUAACUGUUGUAUUAGCUAACUAAAUUGUAAAAAAUUAUAAUAAUAAUAACACCACAGUAGCCGACGCUUUAUAAAUUGAAGUAGCCUGCGCACUGCUUACUCAAACUUGAAACACAUGAACAUUUGAGAGAACCUUGGCGCGCGAUUUGAUGACGUUGUCAACAAUAACACCGCAUCACCGGUCACUGCUUGAAUGGAUACGAUUUUGUAAAAGUGAUGUAACAGUCCCGUUUGUGCCAAUCGAGUUGCAUCAGAUCUCGUAUCAUGAAAAAACUUGCAUUGGGAACUAAAAUAUGUUCCCCAUCACGGAACCCCCUUCCUGGUGGUCGGGAGGAAAACCUACGCCUGCCACCAGGGCGAGGAUAAACAUGCGAGUGAUAAGAAGAGGGAAGCAGAAAUGGUAAAUUGGCUAAUGUUUAUAAAGAUGCACAAUAAAGGUGAUUAUGAUUGACUGAUAUUGGGAGGAGGCGAUGUCGGUUAGGAAGGUAGAGUUUGAGAAGGGUAUGUGUUAGAAAGGGAAAACAGAAGAUAACCACAAGAUGCAGGACUCCUUGUUCCCCCAAUAUCUAAGAAAACAGAUUGAUACAGCGCUCCUCUUUUAUGUUGAGAGAAUCAUACUUAGUUUCAGUCUUGUAAGUUAAAGUAAGUAACUUGUAGCUAAGCCUUGGUCAAAUAAUCCUUGUCUGAGCAUGAAUGACCCAUAUGGGCAGAAGCCUAUUUCCUGUUUCUGUCUUGUAAGGCAGCUUGAGGUACAAGUAGCCUAUACCCCCUGGACAAGACGCUAGUUCCCUAAUUCAUUAAUGCUGAGAACCAAACAGAGAGGCAUCAGGUCCGAAGGUACUGGACUGAUGAACCAUCCUUGCUGUCUCUACUUGAUUGACUCUCAACUGGGAUUCCAUACCACUGACUCUAUUACAUGCGCUGAGUCCCUGGCUUUUUGUACUCAGUUUUUUAUUUGCCAUGGGGCCAUGGUCAGCUUGUCUCAUCUGGUGUACUGUACUGUCUUUAUCUGUGGUACCUAAGCAUGCUCCCACUAACCCCCUUCUUUUGUCCUUUUCUACAUCUAAUAACUCCCGGAAGUGUCUGGACUGUGCCUACCUGGACUGUGGCUGAGGACCCUGGGCAUGCCUACCCAUAGCCCCUCCCCACACUCCCUAGCAUGUUUGUACCUAAGCUAAAUACUGAGUAUUCCAUCUCACCCUCUUCUGUCCUCUCCUCCCCUAAACCCAGUCCUGGGCACAAACUAUUUUAUAUUGAAUUUAUAUUGAGCAUGCUUUUUUGUCCAGGACUAGGUGUAAUCUGAGUCUGGGAAACCAGCCCAUACUCUAGACAAUGAGAUUAUUCCAGAAUACUAUCAAAAUAAAGAUUGUUUUCUAUGA
This is a long non-coding RNA of Oncorhynchus kisutch (coho salmon), 1432 nucleotides long. RefSeq lists it as uncharacterized. The transcript has 2 exons. The record is from RefSeq and is a predicted model, not a curated record. NCBI's taxonomy places the organism in Eukaryota, Metazoa, Chordata, Actinopteri, Salmoniformes, Salmonidae.